This 87-nucleotide transfer RNA is filed under the name Candidatus Levybacteria bacterium CG2_30_37_29. RNAcentral describes it as "tRNA-Ser". It matches the Rfam family "tRNA". From Rfam's summary of the family: Transfer RNA (tRNA) molecules are approximately 80 nucleotides in length. Their secondary structure includes four short double-helical elements and three loops (D, anti-codon, and T loops). RNAcentral also lists the same sequence under 2 other names. The record is from RNAcentral. Lineage: Bacteria; Candidatus Levyibacteriota.
GGAGAGGUCGCAUAGUGGCCUAGUGCGGAGGUCUUGAAAACCUCUGUGGACGCAAGUUCACCGUGGGUUCGAAUCCCACCCUCUCCG